CCCACAUGAAAACACCACCAUCAUGCACCCACGUUAAGGUUUCAUCUGUGUAACCAUUAAUUCUAACAAGAAAAAAAAAUCUAGAAAAUUUGGAAAGCAAAAAACUGAAUGUAAACACCAAGUUGUAGCAUCUCUGAAUAGCAACUGUAGAAAUUAUUAAAGCAUGUAUUUCCUAGCCAACACACACAACGUGGUGGCAUGAAUG
This 205-nucleotide long non-coding RNA is filed under the name Glycine max (soybean). Its description in RNAcentral is "long non-coding RNA (GMAX_LNC003716)". The record is from RNAcentral. Lineage: Eukaryota; Viridiplantae; Streptophyta; Magnoliopsida; Fabales; Fabaceae.